Molecule: long non-coding RNA, 2994 nt
Organism: Vigna radiata var. radiata (mung bean)
Lineage: Eukaryota; Viridiplantae; Streptophyta; Magnoliopsida; Fabales; Fabaceae
Exons: 2
Source: RefSeq, a predicted model, not a curated record
GCUUUGCAUCAGCAUGUAAAAACACUUUUGCUGUUUGAGAAAUAUGAAUUGCUGAUGCAUUUUCCAGCCUUUUCUCCUAUCGAAAGUCCUUCCUUAUAUUUCCACUUUUUCCCCUCAAGCUUCCUUCCAAUGGAGAAGGCCGUCUGAGCUAUAUCUCCCUUCACCAAAACACUUCAUACAUCCCUUCUUCCAUUAUCCAAUUACAUCCGCUGCAUAACUCUGCUUCACUAGUGAAAUUAUUCCGCUGCUUCUGCAUUUAUACCUUUGGAGCUCACGGUUCUGAACAUAGCACCAAGGAUGACUCCAUCAAGUGGUAUCAAAGUUGUGGUCGUCCACGCAUCCAUAGCUAAGUGUUCUUUCCAUUCCAUACUGUCAUAAUUUUUCCUUCGUGUUUUCUUGUUUUGUGCACACUGUUACAUUCCAUUUCCAAUUCUCGUAGAUUUUGUUAUUAAUUUCAUUGUUCCAGCUUUUCAUUGCUUUAGUCUUAUCAUUUUAAUCGGUUCAUUUCUUAUUUUGAGUCUUUUAAUUUUGAAAUCUGAUGCUGUCAUGUCUAGUCAUGUGUGGUGGUUUAAUUUUGUCAAAUUCUGAAGUUGGAUCUCUGCCUGGAUAAAUCUGUUUGACUUGAGUGGUUAUUCAGUAGCUGCACAUCAUAAGAGCAAUGAUUCAAAGAGCUCAAGUGCAAUUUGAUUCCAUCAAGUGCAGUACCAAGCAUUACAGUAAUUUAAUCUGUUUUCAAGCUUAUUUGACUUUGCACCAUAUGUUCUGGUUGUGUUCUUGAAUGAUGGAACACGUAAAAGUUACAUACCAAAUGAACAAUGAAUGGUUUAAGUCAAAAAUUGUAUUAUAUCAAUUUCCAAUUACCAGAAAAAUAUAUUCCAACAGCUGGACCGAUCUGCACUAUUGUUUGAUUGAUUUUUGUGAUUUUUGAAUCUGUCCAGCUUAGAACUCACUUCUGGACAUCUUUUAUAUCAUUCCUAGAGUCUUGUUCAAGUUUAAAUUCCUAUUCUAGAGUCAUAAGAUUUGUUUCCAGUUCAGUUUGAUUCCUCUGAUGAAAAUUGGUUGGUGUUUUGGCUUAAUUUUGGUGCUAGAGAGCAACUGAACUAGUGAAAAUCUGAAUUCCAAGCUUUUAGCCUCUGCUGGCAGUUUGAACAAGUCACAUUUGAAUUUUGUAAUGCCUCGUGGCUGUGAUCUUUGCACCGAGUUCCACCUUAAAAUUGGCAGCAAAAGCUUGGUUCACUUGAGUUACAAGUAAUGUACAAUGCAAAUUUAAUAAUAGCACUUAUUUGAAAAAGUUGUGUGAACCAGUGCCAAGCAAAAUUGUUAAUUCUGGUGCAUCAGUCAAAGAACUCUCUUAGGCAUUUUAACAAACAGUUUUGCCUAUGUUGAAUUUGAGUUCGAAUUCAUUGUUUAUGCAACUUGUAUGCAUUUCUUGCUUUUAAAUCUACUCUAGAGCCUAUCCUAAGAUCAUUUUGAGUGCCACCUGUUAUUGCAAGCCGUUUAAUUGCUUGAUUUUUAUUUGUUUGAAACUCUGCACACCAGUUGUUUGAUGAAAGUAUAUUUGUGCAAUCUGGUUUAAUAAUUUCUGGCAGCAGCAGGGUGUUUGAUCUGGUUUCAUAAUUGAUUUUGUUUGGUCUGUGUGAGAUCUAAAUGGAUGCAGGAACUACAACAUUGGUAGCCUCUUAGGAAGUGGAGAAUUGGUGGAAAUAAUUCAGGCAAGUGGCUCGGUGGUGCAGAAUUUUAUUGCUGGAAACUGCCGAGUUGUUGCAGCUGCACAUCCAUUUACUACAGCAAGCAAAUCUGAAUUGCAGCCUUUGCAAAGUCAUUUUGAGUGUACAUGGAACACCAGCCUCCUAUACACCCAUGCAGCUGUGAGCAUAGUUUGUUGUACAUUAACAACACCUAUUCUUGUGAGAAGCCAAAGCUGUUUGCCAACCCUGUUUCUGAUUGUGAUCCAUUAAUUGAAACUCACAUUGCCAAAUGGAUUUGGAUCAAAAUUUAAAACUGAUUUUGUCAAAUAAACUUGCUGAUUUACACUUCUGAGUUGUUCCAAAACAAAAUUUCUAAACUGAUCAUAUUCAAGUUUUGAAUCAACUUGCAAAUUUUGUUUUGGCUGCAACUUUCAUGAUGAAAUGAGUUUUUGGAACCCCAUUAACUCAAUUGGUUUUGUUUUGCUCAUUUGAGUUAUGAUUUGAACUUGUAACGCUAAUCACAUUUAGUAUCCAUCAGUUUGGAGUAUUUGCUGUCUGGUGUAAUUUUUUAUGCAGAAUUUGACUUGCUGGAACGUAUAAAAUGCUGCUGCAGCAGCCGAUCUAGCUCAGCUUACGGUGUUGUAGAAUUCUACUGCUGAAGUGCAUACAUUGCUGCAACAGCAACCUGUUUGAACCAAUUCCUUGCAGCCAAAUUAAAAGCUUAACUUUUAGCAACUGUUUCUUUGAGCUGGAAAGUGAAAGCAUUGAUCCAUAAAUUGCAAGUGCUAGCCUUGUUGUAUUUGCUGGAUCGUGGAAUUUUGCAGCUGAGCAGAUUUGAUUUGGAAAGAGUUUUAUAAGCUAGCUGUGGUAGUUUCAUAUGAUCUUUGAUAUAGGGAACGACAGAAUAUCAAGUCUUCCUCUGAUUGCAUCUUAAAUAUAAAUUGGUCCAGAAGAUAGCAGCAGCAUCCUGCAGUAGCCAGUACAUGUCCUGCAGCAAAAAACAUGUGUUGCACGUCCUGCAGUACCCCCCCCCCUCUCUGGUCUACAAGAUUGAAACAGUAAUAUACAAGGAAUGAAGGAUCAAAAAGAGCAAGGAAGCAGCUGAAACGAGCUUUAGUCCGUACAUGGAGUAGUUUUCAUUUGUUUUCUUGUAAAAGGACAUAAGACCAAGUGUUUGGAAGAGUUCUUGGUGCUCUCUCCACUCUUGGCAAUUUUCUUUGCUUGCUUUGAUAAAUAAAUGGUGAGUGUGUCUUGUUAGCCAAAAGCUACAAGCCUCACCUAGGAUUUCUUUUCUUUUAUUUUCUUA